GCAAGUAUUGGUAACUAUAAACCACCACAUUUGCAAACUGCACCAUAUGCCGUGCUAAGAAGUAUGGACACCACCCUUUCUCCCUCCCAUAUGCUCUCAGAUCCUGAAGCGUGUAAACUCCAGGUGGCAAUACUGCUGCGGACGCCGCCCUCUCAUAGUUCUCAAAAAACUCACAAGUCGGUACAUUGGGAUUCUCUGCGGCCAAAGCCCUAACCCAACUAGCCGUCAGCUUCCUACAAGCGGCAUCCACCGAAUCCCGAUUCUCUGCGGUCAAUACCGUCGGAUUCACGCAGAGAUUCUUCCUCGACGACAAUCCGAUAGCCAAAAUCCCCGCAGCAGGUCCCAAAUGCUUGAUUUGGUAAUUGUGCAACAGUUUGAGCUCGGCGAGGGUUUUCUCCAUCUCGUGCACGGUGCGCGUACAGUAGAUUAGCUUCACUUGGCUCUGGGGCUUGGAAAGAGAGUAGCUGGUGAUCAAAGAUAGAAGCGCUAUGGUCUUUCCAGUUCCCGUAGGCAUUUCCAGGAGGCAGUGGCCCUUGGCGUCCAGGGCACGCUUUAGCUCGACCAUAUAAGAGUAUUGCUCCGGAUAAAUAUUAUCGUACGGGAAGUAGACAGUCACGUCCUCGAUUUGGAACUUCAUGGUGGUGAUCCGGCGUUUGUCGAUAUCGGAAUAUACGUAUACAAUAAUUGUAUAUUAAUUUACAGAGGACGAGAAGGCGAUGGAGAAGGACGAGGCGGAGAAGCGGAGUGGCGAACGCUUUGGGUUAUAAGGAGGAGGAGUAGACAGUCACGUCCUCGAUUUGGAAC
This 804-nucleotide unclassified non-coding RNA is filed under the name Hevea brasiliensis (rubber tree). The record is from RNAcentral. Lineage: Eukaryota; Viridiplantae; Streptophyta; Magnoliopsida; Malpighiales; Euphorbiaceae.